This 1098-nucleotide long non-coding RNA is filed under the name Sparus aurata (gilthead seabream). Its description in RNAcentral is "lncRNA (ENSSAUG00010001037.1)". The record is from RNAcentral. Lineage: Eukaryota; Metazoa; Chordata; Actinopteri; Spariformes; Sparidae.
AUGGCUUGGCAACAAUUCGCUGGUACCAAGACUGGUACAAAUCCGGCUAGCAGGGCUUGUCAAAUUGCUGUUGGCAACGUUUUUAUUCAAGCCACAGCCAAGCUACCAGCCAAAGCCCAUGCCUCAGCUCUGGCCUCAGCCCAUGCCUCAGCUACAGCCCAGCUACCAGCCCAUGCCUCAGCCCAUGCCUCAGCUCCAGCCUCAGCUGAAAUGUCUCCUUUCUGGGGAAUCCGGCUGGCCUACAAAGUGCCCCCACCAAGAAAGCGACGUUCUCGGCCACUUCCUGGCUCCCUGAAGUCUGGCUCUGGAGCCCCAGCUCCAUUGUCAACUGCCCAGCCAGCGCUUGCCGGGUUUGCUCCGCUAAUGGUGUGGCUGACACCCAGGCUGACACCUGCCAGUGGCCCUCAGUCGGUGGACCGGUCGACACCUGCCAGUGGCCUUCAGUCGGCGGCCAGGUCGACACCUGCCAGUGGUCUUCAGUCAGUGGCCAGGUCGACACCUGCCAGUGGCCUUCAGUCGGCGGCCAGGUCGACACCUGCCAGUGGCCUUCAGUCGGCAGCCAGGUCGACACCUGCCAGUGGCCUUCAGUCGGCAGCCAGGUCGACACCUGCCAGUGGCCUUCAGUCGGCAGCCAGGUCGACACCUGCCAGUGGUCUUCAGUCAGCGGCCCGAUUGACACCUGUGCCUGCUCCUCGGUCGGAGGCCCGGCCGAGUCCUGUGCCUGCUCCUCGGUCGGAGGCCCGGCCGAGUCCUGUGCCUGCUCCUCGGUCGGAGGCCCGGCCGAGUCCUGUGCCUGCUCCUCGGUCGGAGGCCCGGCCGAGUCCUGUGCCUGCUCCUCGGUCGGAGGCCCGGCCGAGUCCUGUGCCUGCCCCUCGGUCGGAGGCCCGGCCGAGUCCUGUGCCUGCCCCUCGGUCGGAGGCCCGGCCGAGUCCAGUCCAACCCCCUCGGUCGGAGGCCCGGCCGAGUCCCGUGCCAAGUCCCGUGCCAAGUCCCGUGCCAAGUCCCGUGCCUGCUCCUCGGUCGGAGGCCCGGCUGAGUCCAGUCCCUGCUCCUCGGUUGGAGGCCCGGCCAAGUCCUGUGCCUGCUCCUCGGUCAUAG